GCCCUAGGCAGGUGUGAUCAUAACAGGUAGAACUGGUUUCUUGUUACCCUUAGGUUCAGUGUGGCGCAAAUAGUUGCAUGUUAAGAAGCCUGUGGUGUGGAAAGAUAUGCAUGCUGCUCCUGAAUAACCUUCCCCUGCAAGCAUGAACCACGGAUUCAUAAUAUUAGUGGCAGCUCUAUGCCUGCGUCACGCACGGGCCAUGACCUCUACUGAGGUUCCUACAAUUAACUUAACAAAUGCUUGGACCACCACAGUACUAGAGGUCGGUGAACUUUCAAACCCUCAGCCAUUCAUGGAGACAACAAAAGAAUGGGACAAACAAACAACUCCACAACUGAGUGCCACAUCAACAGGGAUUAAGGGAAGCUUAAGUGAAAAUAUAGACGCCGGCGAUGAGACAAAUAUUGCUUCUUCUGUCCUCAUGGAACCAUCGUCUCUUGCUCCCACAUUAAGAUCACGCGCUUAGUAAAUUUAUGCAUGAGCACAACACAAAGAACAACAGUAUUUUCUUCAUCGCCACACAGACCAUCACAAACUACAGUUGUAUCCAGACAAACAGCCUCUUCAGCUAGGGCUCCACUAACUGCAACAACCACACCACUUAUGACAGAAACAUUCACAUCGAAAACUGUGUCCACAUCAGUACAAACACAAUCUAUUCCUCCCACAAUGGAAUCAUCCACAACAACAACAACAACGACACAUAGUACAGGAUCUAUUGCAUCAUCAACUCAAAAACCAACACAAAUUACAGAUGUAUCCAGACAAACAGCAUCUUCAGCUAUGGCUCCACCAUCUGCAACAACCACAUCAGAUACUUCACAAACAUCAAAAUCAGUCACAACAGAACCAACAACAGCUGCAACACAACCUGCUGAAUCAACAGCACUUUCCAGCACUUUGACACAUAGUGGAUCAGUGACUACAAGAACACAAACUACACAACCUAUGACAACAGCAUUCACAACACAAACUAGGUCAACAAUCGUACCAACAGAAUCUAUAACGCCCACAAUAGAAUCAUCAACAACUCCAACACAAAGUACAGCCAUUUCUGUUUCAUCACCACAAAAAACAACACAAACCCCAGUAGAAACAGUACAAACAACAUCUUUAGAAAAAGGUGCACCAUCAGUAGCAACUAAAUCAGUGACUUCACACACAUCUGGAUCAUUAACAACAGAGCAACCCACAGCUGCGCAACAAACUAACCAAUCGAUGGAAAUUCACAGCACAUCUGGUCCUAGUGGAUCAUUACCUACAUCCACAGGAACUACACCACUUAUCAUGGAAACAUUCACAUCGAAAACUGUGUCCACAUCAGUACAAACACAAUCUAUUCCUCCCACAAUGGAAUCAUCCAGCAACAACAGCUACACAAAAUACACCACCACAGGUUAUGGUUGCAACCACACAAUCAGCAACUUCAACAGGAGCUGCACCAUCUGCGACAACCAAAUUGGGGACUUCACAAACAUCAACAACAGCAGCAUUAACAACAGCGCAACCCACGGUUGCAGGACAAACUGCAGAGUCAACGGCAAACAAAACACCCAAUUCCCUGGAUGCAUCAACUCUAAAUCCCAUUGAAGCCAACAUAACACAACAGCAAGUUGAUCCUAACUCUGUUCCUUUUUCUCGAGGAAAUAUAGUUUUUUUCAACCAUACCCCCGAAAUUGCUGCUGUCAGGCCGCUUGACUUUGGUUACCCAUCUGUCAUCUGGACCACAUUCCAAGUUACAAGCCAGUCAGACCAGAACGACACAAAUCAGGUACCUAUACUUUUAGGCAGUAGUUUCAAAUCUUGGGAAACUCUCUUUUUUGAGAGAGGGAGUGUUAAAUGAGUAGACUAACCUCCCCCUCAUAUUUUGAAUGCUUCAGCCUGUACGCGAUAAAUUUAACAUAAAGGAAGGCUAUGUCCAAUUGAAGCAAAAUUUGUCAACUUAAUUGUUAUAUCUUGUUUGUUCUUGAAGGAUAAAGUGCCUUUCCGUCACUUUGUGUGGUAAGUGAUUGGUAGUAAUUAGUACUGGGAGGCAUAUGUCGCCUCAUAUUUAAGCAUACUUUCCCAACAUUUUGAACUGUUAUUUUACGCCAUUAUAUUCAUUAACAAAUUUAUAAAUCUCUUGGAAUGUCUAAACAACGUGCUUUGUGUUGAUGCCUCGUUUGUGUUUUGUCAGAUCCUCUCCACAGUAAAUUAUCUUUUUCUUUCAACUCCACAGAUUCCUACAUUUCCCCCCACAAGUGUGAACAAUGGUUAAUGGACUUGCCGUUUAAAAGAUCCAACCACUCAAAGAACUUUACAGUACAUGUCUACAUUGACCCUUUCAGGCUCACGUUCAUGUCAUGCAAAGUCAAAGGCCAUCACGAUCUAAUCUAGAUAACAUUGAUAUUGUACACCCUGAUGGCAAGUUGGCAGCAUUUUGGCAUUCAGUCUCCUUCCCAAGGGCCGGAGGAGCUGGGAAUUGAAUCGGCGAUGAUCAAAUUAGAAGAAACUGAUGGCUGGAAAUCCUGAGUUUAAGUCCAGACAAACCCUCACUUAUGUCAUACUUCAGAAGAAUGUUCGCCAACACCGAUGGAUUUCCCGAGAAAAAUGAGCACAUCCCAAAAACAAUCAUAAUAAAUCAAAUGGACGUGAACACAUGUUUCAACUUGCUAGCUUACAUCGUAGACUAAGCAGAUAUCAUGUAUAUAACGUCACUGAUACACGUCUACACAGCUUCUCACGCUGAAUGUGAGUCGUCUUUGUUCAGCUAGUUAUAGCUCAUAUUGGUGGUGGUUUGGUCAGUUAGACCCUCACUGGUCUCUUCUGUCUGUGCGUCCUAAAAGUUACACAAAUUAAUAUUCUAAAUACAUGCUCAUAGCAAAGUGUACACAUUUUCAAAGUUUUUUUCCGUGGUAUUUAAUUGUUGUUGUGUUUGUUUCUGGGUUUUAUUGCCACCUAAUUUUUGAGGUCAAUUAACACUUUCAACUUAUUUCUGUUGUGACAUUGAUACCUUUGUAACAAAUAAAUUAGAUGUCAGUAGAAUUUUCUCUCCUGUCGAGUUUUGUUCAUUGUUCAUUUAUAUUGGCCCUUGGUGCACAGAUUAUUCUGUCAAUACAGAAAGUAAAAUUGUGUACCAAAACUACACUUACA
Molecule: long non-coding RNA, 3132 nt
Organism: Gasterosteus aculeatus aculeatus (three-spined stickleback)
Lineage: Eukaryota; Metazoa; Chordata; Actinopteri; Perciformes; Gasterosteidae
Source: Ensembl